Lipotes vexillifer (Yangtze River dolphin) is the source of this 72-nucleotide non-coding RNA. The record is from the annotation of a RefSeq genome assembly. Lineage: Eukaryota; Metazoa; Chordata; Mammalia; Artiodactyla; Lipotidae.
UCCCUGGUGGUCCAGUGGUUAGGACUUGGCAUUUUCACUGACAUGGCCCAGGUGCAAUCCCUGGUCAGGGAA